UAAUACGAAGGGUGCUAGCGUUGUUCGGAAUCACUGGGCGUAAAGCGUGCGUAGGCGGCUUAACAAGUCAGGGGUGAAAUGCCAAGGCUCAACCUUGGAACUGCCUUUGAAACUGUUAAGCUGGAGUGUCGGAGGGGAUAGCGGAAUUCCUAAUGUAGUGGUGAAAUACGUAGAUAUUAGGAGGAACACCGGUGGCGAAGGCGGCUAUCUGGACGACAACUGACGCUGAGGCACGAAAGCGUGGGGAUCAAACAGGAUUAGAUACCCUGGUAGUCCACGCUGUAAACGAUGGAUGCUAGCCGUUGGAGGGUUCCCCUUCAGUGGCGUAGCUAACGCGUUAAGCAUCCCGCCUGGGGAGUACGGUCGCAAGAUUA
RNAcentral lists this ribosomal RNA (374 nucleotides) under uncultured bacterium. Its description in RNAcentral is "bacterial SSU rRNA". It matches the Rfam family "Bacterial small subunit ribosomal RNA", at positions 521 to 896 of the family's 1533-position model. The record is from RNAcentral.